Hymenobacter sp. is the source of this 96-nucleotide non-coding RNA. Lineage: Bacteria; Pseudomonadati; Bacteroidota; Cytophagia; Cytophagales; Hymenobacteraceae. The record is from Rfam.
CGGGUGUUCACCUCUUCCCAUUCCGAACAGAGCCGUUAAGCCCCGGUGCGCCUAUGGUACUGCCUUCACCGGUGGGAGAGUCGGUCGCCGCCAACC